AUUGAACGCUGGCGGCAGGCCCAACACAUGCAAGUCGAACGGCAGCGGGGGGUAGCUUGCUACCCCGCCGGCGAGUGGCGGACGGGUGAGUAAUGCCUGGGGAGCUGCCCAAUCGAGGGGGAUACCAGUUGGAAACGACUGCUAAUACCGCAUACGCCCUGAGGGGGAAAGGUGGGGAUCUUCGGACCUACCGCGAUUGGAUGCCCCCAGGUGGGAUUAGCUAGUUGGUGAGGUAACGGCUCACCAAGGCGACGAUCUCUAGCUGGUCUGAGAGGAUGGACUGCCACACUGGAACGGAGACACGGUCCAGACUCCUACGGGAGGCAGCAGUGGGGAAUAUUGCACAAUGGGGGAAUCCCUGAUGCAGCCAUGCCGCGUGUGUGAAGAAGGCCUUAGGGUUGUAAAGCACUUUCAGUGGGGAGGAAAGGGUGGAAGCUAAUACCUUUCAUCUGUGACGUUACCCACAGAAGAAGCACCGGCUAACUCCGUGCCAGCCGCCGCCGUAA
This 506-nucleotide ribosomal RNA is filed under the name uncultured bacterium. RNAcentral's name for it is "partial 16S ribosomal RNA". It matches the Rfam family "Bacterial small subunit ribosomal RNA", at positions 29 to 523 of the family's 1533-position model. The record is from RNAcentral.